RNAcentral lists this ribosomal RNA (253 nucleotides) under uncultured bacterium. RNAcentral describes it as "partial 16S ribosomal RNA". It matches the Rfam family "Bacterial small subunit ribosomal RNA", at positions 524 to 776 of the family's 1533-position model. The record is from RNAcentral.
UACGAAGGGUGCAAACGUUGCUCGGAAUCAUUGGGCGUAAAGCGCACGUAGGCGGCUACAUAAGUCGGAUGUGAAAGCCCACGGCUCAACCAUGGAAGUGCAUUCGAAACUGCGUAGCUUGAGUACCAAAGAGGAUCGCGGAAUUCCCGGUGUAGAGGUGAAAUUCGUAGAUAUCGGGAGGAACACCAGUGGCGAAGGCGGCGAUCUGGGUGGUUACUGACGCUGAGGUGCGAAAGCGUGGGGAGCAAACAGG